RNAcentral lists this long non-coding RNA (471 nucleotides) under Lathyrus oleraceus (garden pea). RNAcentral describes it as "Pisum sativum (pea) long non-coding RNA (PSAT_LNC034290)". The record is from RNAcentral. Lineage: Eukaryota; Viridiplantae; Streptophyta; Magnoliopsida; Fabales; Fabaceae.
GCCGACCGUCAUCAACCGCCACAGCCGCCAACAUCUACACCGCGCUCACCAUCUCCAGCCGCGCGUUCUUCCUCACCAUCUGUCGACCACCGAAUCGCCGGCAAAACCUCUCAACAUAACCGCUCAACACCCUUCUUCUCCACUUCGACCGUCGAAAUACUCCUCCGAUUCACCUAACAUCUUCCAUCACUUUAACAAGCGUAAUCUCACUGUGAGCAACUCCACUCAGCCGCUCCUUUCCUUCAACAGAAGCUAAAGUCAUCUUCUCCAAUUCAACACUGUUUUUUGUUUUGCUUUCAAAAUUGGGAAGGUUAUAUUUUUUUAUUCUGCUUGGGUGUUAUCUCUUUUCUGCAGGUUGAGUUUAAUUUACUAACCUGAUCGGGAUACCGCAAGGAUGUGAUUCAAUUAGAUGUCGCGAUGUACACGUUUCAGUUAUGAUUUGUUCCUCUUUGGAUCGCCGCUUCGGUUACG